UUUUUUUUUUUUUCCUCGCUGUCUCCUAUGCUGGCAACGUCCUGCGAGUGGCUAUUUUGCUUUUGCACCGAGAGAAGGGCUUCUCCCCCCCCCUCCUUUGGUGACACUUAUGGAUGAAAUCCACACACCGAUGUCUAACCUGUAGUGAAAGCCAGUGUAAGUAAUCCAAUGUUCUAUAGCUAUAUUUGGUUAUGAAUUGAUUGACUCUGCUUAGUCCUGUUGAAUAAUGGUUAAUUAGCAGUUUCAAUUUUCAAUUUCGGCAUUAUUACAAUUAGGCUUUGUACAAAUUUUGCCACUCUUAAGUGUUAUUGCCCACCCACCCGUGCCUUGCCCCAAAUGCUAGUGACUAGAAUUAACAACCGAAAUAUAUCUAAACAACUGGCUUUGAUUUUUUUGUUGUCUAAUAGUGUCUUUUUUUAAGAGCUGACUUAGGAAGACAGAACACUGGGACAGUCAUCGUUUUCUAGUAGAAUAAUGCACUUUGUGAUUCAGGUUGGCUCUGAAAGUCAAUUUAAAGCCUUCCUUAGAAGCAACUGUGCUAAAGCAAAAGUGCACAGAGAAGAAAGUACAGCUCAGCACAGCAGCUAGUCAGAAAGCUGAAGUCUCAAUCCGUUUUCCAUGCAAGCAUAAAGCGUAACAGGUCUGAGCACUGAAUACAAAAUAUUAGUGCAAAUACUUACCAGACUCCUCCCUUUUCACCCUAUUAUUUCUCCUAUUCUUGUUACAUUGUUUUUCAUCUUUCCCUUCCUUCUGUAAAGGAAAAUAAUUUCCUCCUCUCCAUUUCAGUUUCUUCCUUUCACAUUUGCUUUUUCCUACUCACCUGCACAAUUUCUGAAAUUUCAAAAUGUAAAAGGGCUAUGGAUCCAAUCCUGGGUUCAAAUUCCAAAUCCUGGAAGCUUUUAGCAUGGCUGAAGAUCAAUGACUUAAAAUUUCAGUGUUUGUGUUCUCUCAUUUCCAACAAAGAUAGAAAAUCACCAGCAAUGAGAACCUAUUUAGAUAACUGUAAUCUUAGAAUAAGAACAGCAUUCUGUGAAGAGCUCUGCUCAUACAGCAAACAUAACAGUGAUUUUUACUGAUUUGGAACUAUAUUAUUAUCUCUGAUACCUUAUUUUUAUGCUCAGCUGUUAGGAGAGGAGCACAUCCACUUCUCUCCUUUAGUAGCCAUUUUAAAUGAUGCACUGAAUGCCUCAACAAAUGAAAAGAUUCAUGUCUUUAAAUAAUUUAUAACCAGCUUCCAAUAUUUAGAAGAAUAUAAAAAUAGCUAGAGUUAAGGCUAGCAUACGGUACACAAAUGUAAGUAUUUUUUCUCCUAUAGCAAUUCAUCAACACUGAUUACCCGUAUCCAUGACAUACAUUUUUAGAUGCCAACUCUUCUAAACAUGAAAUCCAUGUUUACAUGAUUUUUUUCAAGCAACUUAAUAGCCAUUAUAUCAAAUGUUGUUUCACACAUAGUAUCAACAUUUGAUGUUUCGCUGGCAUGGUAACAGAAAGUCAGCUCAGUAUAAGUUACUUUGUAGAGGAUAGUGCCAAAACUUCAAGGUGUCCCCUCUCAGUAAGCAGGAACUCCUGCAGUCUUUAAAGAUAAAAUGACAUAUGACAAGCAGUAAGAGUAGAGCCAGUUUUUAGGGACCAACAUUGACUAACUAAAAGAGAGAUCUCUACACCCACUAUAAAAAUCUGCCCAAGAAAGAAACACCAAAACAGUUUUCCAUUAAAAUGUACCCUCAAAAAAAAAAAAAA
Tyto alba (common barn owl) is the source of this 1740-nucleotide long non-coding RNA. RefSeq lists it as uncharacterized. NCBI's taxonomy places the organism in Eukaryota, Metazoa, Chordata, Aves, Strigiformes, Tytonidae. The record is from RefSeq and is a predicted model, not a curated record. The transcript is spliced from 2 exons.